GAUGAACGCUGGCGGCGUGCCUAAUACAUGCAAGUCGAGCGAACGGACGAGAAGCUUGCUUCUCUGAUGUUAGCGGCGGACGGGUGAGUAACACGUGGAUAACCUACCUAUAAGACUGGGAUAACUUCGGGAAACCGGAGCUAAUACCGGAUAAUAUUUUGAACCGCAUGGUUCAAAAGUGAAAGACGGUCUUGCUGUCACUUAUAGAUGGAUCCGCGCUGCAUUAGCUAGUUGGUAAGGUAACGGCUUACCAAGGCAACGAUGCAUAGCCGACCUGAGAGGGUGGUCGGCCACACUGGAACUGAGACACGGUCCAGACUCCUACGGGGGGCAGCAGUAGGGAAUCUUCCGCCAUGGGCGAAAGCCUGACGGAGCAACGCCGCGGGAGUGAUGAAGGUCUUCGGAUCGUAAAACUCUGUUAUUAGGGAAGAACAUAUGUGUAAGUAACUGUGCACAUCUUGACGGUACCUAAUCAGAAAGCCACGGCUAACUACGUG
This 497-nucleotide ribosomal RNA is filed under the name uncultured bacterium. RNAcentral's name for it is "partial 16S ribosomal RNA". It matches the Rfam family "Bacterial small subunit ribosomal RNA", at positions 28 to 507 of the family's 1533-position model. The record is from RNAcentral.